Molecule: ribosomal RNA, 486 nt
Filed under: uncultured bacterium
Lineage: Bacteria
Description: partial 16S ribosomal RNA
Rfam family: Bacterial small subunit ribosomal RNA
Source: RNAcentral
ACUCAAAUGAAUUGACGGGGGCUUGCACAAGCGGUGGAGCGUGUGGCUUAAUUCGUCGCUAAGCGAAGAACCUUACCAAGACUAGAAAUUCUACUGCACGCCUAGCGAAAGCUAGGAAGCCUUCGAGGGUGUAGAACAGGUGAUGCAUGGCUGUCGUCAGUUCGUGGUUUGAACCGUUCCCUUCAGUGGGGUAACGAACGCAACCCUCGUUGCCUGUUAUAAGUAUCAGGCGAGACUGCCCCCUCACGGGGGAGGAAGGUGAGGAUGACGCCAAGUCAGCAUGUCCCUCUGAUGUCUUGGGCUGCACACGCGCUACAAUGGGUACUACAGCGGGGCGCGACGGGGUAACCCUGAGCAAAUCCUUCAAAAGUAUCCUCAGUUCGGAUUGAGGUCUGCAACCCGACCUCAUGAAGCUGGAAUCGCUAGUAAUCGCGGGUCAGCCACACCGCGGUGAAUACGUUCUCAAGCCUUGUACACACCGCCCGU